Cucurbita moschata (crookneck pumpkin) is the source of this 1587-nucleotide long non-coding RNA. RefSeq lists it as uncharacterized. The transcript is spliced from 3 exons. The record is from RefSeq and is a predicted model, not a curated record. NCBI's taxonomy places the organism in Eukaryota, Viridiplantae, Streptophyta, Magnoliopsida, Cucurbitales, Cucurbitaceae.
AUUAGCCCAUUUAGAACAAAUUAAGCCCACUUGAUUCGGCCCAAGAUACAAAUUCAGGGUUACAUGUUGGUCAUCCUCUAGGUUUUACUGCUACGGACAUUCUUGCUAGAUUGAAACGUAUGCAAGAUUACUCUGUUUCGCACCCAAUCGGCUGGAAUGCAUUUGGAUUGCCUGCGGAACAAUAGGCUAUUGAGGUUUGCUCUUCCAGCUUCCAGUUAGCUUACAAUGCCUGAAUUUGAUGAUUUUACACCCACGGGAACAGGGGAAGCUCCACUUGCAAAAGCAGAUUCUUGGGUAACCGAAGAAGUUGAAGGGACACGGUUCAACACAGGAAUCUCAGCUACUAUGGAGUUCGUUAACAUGGCAUAUAGGGUUAUUGGACUACAUUAAAAGGUGAGGGGAUUCGAACCUAUAACCUCUUGGUCAAUGGCAUAUACGUUAACGAUAUGAACUAUGGUUGGCAUAUAUCAAGAGAUUAAAAAACUUGAUAUCUAGAUCCAAUUUUGACAGAAAUGUUAUAUUUGGAUAUUAAUGUUUAAGAUUACAUUAUUUCUUUGCCAUUUCACUUCUCUUCCUAUCAGACUGAUGCCAUUUUUUAGCUAGGGACAGAUAUCCGAGGUCUAUUGUUGAAGCAUUCACUUUGUUGCUUUCACUGUACGCACCUCGCUUGGCUGAGGAACUUUGUUCUUGGUUAGGACACACAGAAUUGUUGGCAUACGAGUCCUUCCCCGAGGUGUGACUUCUUAUCCCCCUUGCCUCCCUUGAGUACUUGAAUAUUUAAAGGCUUUAUGGUUGUGUUUGAGCCUUCUUGCAUCUACAAGGGGUAUGCAUCAGGAGAAAUAGUGUUCUACCUGAAGAACUCCACAAUUGUCCUACCUGUUCAGAUCAAUGGUUGAGGAAACAUGUACAGAAGAGGAAGCUUUCCAGCUAGCAGAACAGGAUGAAAAAGUCUCCAUGUGGCCUGCUGGCAAGAUCUUGAAUGUUAUAAUGAAUCGUCAAGGCUCCAAUGUGGCCUGCUCAAACUGUACAAUUUGCUGCAACCACCGAAAUCUCUCGCAGAUGGUAUAAUAAGCCGAUGGACGCAUGCAACAGAUUAUCAAUGAAGUCUUGUGCUUUAAUCGGAAUGAUUGAGCUUACUGGGUGGGAAUAGAAAAGUUCCUGCUAUUACAACUCGAUCAUCAAUAAGACGACGUUGUGGCUCGAUUCUUACAUUGGUAUCUUGGUUGUCGUUGAGAAUUGUUGAGAGGAGUCUCACAUCGGCUAAUCAUGAGUUUACAAGUAAAGAAUACAUUUCCACUGACAUAAGGUCGGUAAAGGAGACCAAAAGCAAAGCUGGGUGAGUUUGAGCUCUUUUCAUCCCGGUUGAGACAUUUUGUUUGGUUCGUUGAAUGAUAUGUCAUGCUCUAUCUUCUAAGAAAAAAAAAAUCAUAGUUUAUAGUUGUGAUGUAUAUCUCUUAAUUAUUGCAAUAAGUUCAGUAUAAAUGUUGUAUUAAAUAUGUUUGUCAACGGGUGUGGAGCUGGCCAACGCGUACAUAUAUUUGUUAAAUUUUCUCUUACAUCUCAAAAUUCAGAAAAUUAUACAUUAAA